RNAcentral lists this long non-coding RNA (4258 nucleotides) under Chinchilla lanigera (long-tailed chinchilla). RNAcentral describes it as "lncRNA (ENSCLAG00000025537.1)". The record is from RNAcentral. Lineage: Eukaryota; Metazoa; Chordata; Mammalia; Rodentia; Chinchillidae.
AUUGUGAAGAAAAAGACAGUUUUAUUUAAAAUGAGAAAAGAAAUCUCAACCAGUGAUUGGAGGCGUGGAGAUGUAGAUUUCUUAUUCUGAGCCGGCCUUAGGCCACCGACCAGGAAAGCUCGGGAGGAAUGCUUCUGGUUAUAAACUGCCCCGUGCUUUCCACCUGGAACACGUACACUCCAGCAAUCCCACCACGCCCACAGGCCCGGGCAACCGCUCAGCUCUGCGGCUUCACCUCCCUCCGCUCUGCCUUAGAUCCACCUCUGACAGCAAGGUCUCACUGCAACAGUGAAGAGCCAGCUGGGUCACUUAGCCUCUGGGGAAAGAGACCGCCUGCCACCUUCCAACCAUUUCAGGUGACACUUAACCCGCACCGCCUGCUGGGUAAAGAAGACCGCUCCGAUCCGAAGUCCCCGUUUGCGACUUGAGAGACCGGAGCGACGCUCCAUCGCGCCAAGGAAUACAGGAAGCAGACUCAGAAAAUGGAGAGAACAAACCAAGGCCGAGCAGCUUGGAUCUCAGCCAAAGCCCUGCCACAGGACCGCUGAGGCAGACGGUGCUGCUGCCCUUGCUUGUUGCUGCGAGACACACCACCUUCGCGCGUUGCCGCGGGCCUUGGAGAGCAGGGUGCCGUCUCUGUCUGCAGCCCUGCGCUGCCUCUGAGAACUCCCCUAUUGUUACUGCCAUGGAAAUGUCCCCACGGUUCCAUUUUUCCGUGUUGAUUGUCUUAGGUUUAGAACUGGAGGAUUUGCCUGCUUUGCUGGCCAGGUACCAUGAAGAUUCCUAAGGCAGAGAACGUUUUAAACGUAUAAGGGCCAGGUACGUGCUGGUCAGUGGAGGGGGGCAGCAUGGUGGAACUGGGAGGAGGAGAAAAGAUCUCCAUGGUGAUUUACCCUUUGGCUGUCCAACAGUUACAUCACGUCUACAUAUGGCCCUCACACCCCUCUUGCAGAGUACAGGUCAGCUAUAUCUUAAGUAUAGAUAUAUAGUCCGUAGCUCUUGAAAGAAGAAAAACCCAUAUCUGCUCAUUAGUACAGCUCAAAAUGUAAUUGGUCUUACUCUUCCUGCUGUCUCAGCUGCACAUCAAAUUGGGAUUAUUGCUGUAUUCGUUAGUGGAAGAAUUCUUAAUACAACACUACAGUCUUCAGACCGCCAAGUCUAAAAUUUUGACUACAAGUAAAAUACCAAAGUGAUCCACAGCCACUCCUAUCCCUUGUACCCUAAAAUCUUAAUCUUACAUCACUCUCCACCAUUGGCUAGUACCACCUAACAGUGGGCAGCUGCAGCUCUACAAGCCUACUCACGGGUAAACUGUAGAAGACCGGUGAAGACAGACCCGCCUGAUGGCUAGAACUCCCGGCGGGACCUCUAGUUACCCACUGCAUCAGGAAAGAGAAAUGGCCAGAAAUACAGGUCUGUUAAUUCAUGGGUAAUUACCAAUGCACCCAACAGUUGGCUGGCCCAGGGUUUGGAAUGAACAGUGUCACAAUUGCAUGAUUAACAGCAGGGAAUUUGGGCAAGUAUGAGGCUGGACUCUUCAGCGUGAUCUCAAAGAUAUUUGUGAAUGUGAAACACCCACCAAAAGGCCAGUGCUGCAGAAAUGACUUAUAACAGUCGUACAGACGCGGGUCUGCACUCUGGGUGUCGACUGUUUUCACCAGAUAUCUCAUCCUCUGCGUGCUAGGUGCAGGAACUCAGAAGCUGUGGCGACAGGGGUGGAGUAUAGGCUUGAGCUCUCAGCAACAUGUACGUUUAUUCACCAGUUAAACUGAUGAGUGAGUGCUGACAUUGCGUACCCGUGCUAACAGCAGCACAGCCCAACCGCGAGCUCUCAAUACAGUGAAACGCCUGGUUUGUGGGGGCCAAGCCAGCCUUUUCCUGCCAGGUUGAUGACCCUGACCUCUGACCUCAUGGUGUGGGUAGAGAUUUGUCUUCACUAAAACACACACAUUCAGGAUAGGAUAUCGUCUUCCUUGCAACUAGCAUUUGCCAACACCACCAUCCCUGGAGUAAUAGAAUGUCUCAUUCACUAUCAUGGCAAUCCAUGUAACAUUACAUCUGAUCAAGAAACAUUUUACAGCAAAGUAAGAAUUCAUAGGCUCACAUGUAUGAAGCCAAAUUUUCUUACCAUGCAUUCUGUAACCUGGAGGUGGGUGGACUGGCUUCCUGGAGAUAUUACGAUGGCAUUUGGGAGAUAAUGACCUGGAAUGAUGGGGUUCUGUCUCAGAGGAAGCAGUAUGUGCUUUAUGUCACCACCUACUGAAUGAUAUUUGUCUACCUCCAUAAGUAGGCAAAACAAGAGCUCAGGAGUGAAAGAGUGGCAUCGCUCACUGGUACCCCUAACAACCGCUUGGAGAAGUUCUGCUUUUCAUUUUCUCUCUUCUGACCCAGAAAUGACUCAAGUUUCUUUUGUUCUUAACUCAUUGGUCAGAAUAGAUCACUUGGCUCCACUCAACCUAAAAGGGGUUACAAGGUACAGUUGUACUCUGUGUUUAAUAUACAGAGGGUCUACACUACUUGAAUGGCAUAAACAACAGUUGUAACCCUUAAGCCAUUAGCCAUGGGUGAUUAACAUGAGGCAUAGACAAAUGAACGCAGGGACCAUGACCUCAACCCUGUGGUUAAUACUCAAUUAUCUGCAAGUGGACAGUUUCUUACAUGAAAUUUCUUGCUGGCUUUGAGAAUUCAAGCAUGCAUUUCAAAUUAUUAACUUCAAUUUUCUCAUCAACAAAGUCAGAUAAUUAAUAGUAGCUACUUCAAAGGUUAUAAGGAUCAAAGAAACUAAUAUCCAUGAAAUCAUUUGUGAACUAAAUAGCUAUGUAAAUCUUAGUGGUUUUAUUACUAUUACCAUUAAUAUUAUUAGUAUUGUACGGUUGCCAUAUUUGCCCUGUAAUUUCACUUAGAGUCCUACUCAAGAAGGUUGAGAUUAGUUCCUAUAAUGUUGUGGAAUACUUUGUAGCUUUGACUAGAAUGUGUGUUUUUAAAAAGGUUUCCCUUGCUAUUAUGGUGACACUGGCAAUUUUAAUUCCUCCCUCAUUUAAUGAAAUAAAUAAAUAAGAAAAUAAAAUGGUAAGGCAACAUAAAUUUGAAUACUGUAACUUUAACUCAAAAAAUCCAAUGGAAAUAGACAUAACCCCAUGAACUAAAAUACAGGAGAUACUAAUAUCCAUGAAAUCAUUUGUGAACUAAAUAGCUAUAUAAAUCUUAAUGGUUUUAUUACUAUUACCAUUAGUAUUAUGAUAUUAUAGGAAUGGAUAUAGGGUAUAAUGAAUAGGAUAUAAUAAUCCUGCUAUCAAAAGCAAGAACCUAAGAAUGAUUAUUAGUUGAAAUAAAAAGUAAAUUUAUUGCAUAACACAACUGAAAAUACAAAGGGUAAAUUUAAGGCAUAGUAUGAUCAUUGUUCAAUGACUAUGACCUAAUUAGUUCUAUAAGUGGGCUGAUUUUAAGAAGCUUAACAUUGCCAAAUUUGUUUCCCAUAUAUUGAUGUUUUUAAUUGAAGACAAACUUUCAGUUGUUUAUAAAGCUUUUUAGAUCCACCAUAAUCUCUUUCUGCACUCAAAUCCACCAGAUAGACCCUUGCUAUCAUGGAAUUUCACUUAAGUAGUACCAUUAUAAUCAGAAUUUAUCUGCAGUUCUUUAAUGAUAUUUUCUUUAAGAAAACUUUAGAAAAAGUUGUUUCUAGUAAAUUACAGUAGAUAUGUUUGGUGAUAGCUUUAAAUGCAAGUGUUAUGAAACAUAGAGGAACUAUAUCAUAAAAGCAAGAUUAAUGCUUUCUUUUUAAAAAUAGUAUCUUUAUUUGAGAUAUAAUUCAUAUCCCAUACAAUCCAUCCAUCUAAAAUAGACAAAUCAAUAGUUUUUAAUAUAUUCACAGUGUUUUGUAACCAUCAACAAAAUCAGUGUAGAACAUUUUCACCCUCCCCAGCAAAAAAGCUCUAUUCCCAUGACUAGCUGUUCCCACUUAUCCAGACCUUGGAACUUCUAAUCUACUCUUUAUCUCAAUAGAUUUUUCCUGUUUUGCAUAUUUUACAUAGAAUCUAUAAUAUGUAGUCUUUUGAGACCAGCUUCUUAUACUUGGCAUAAUCUUUUUCAAGUUUGUUACAGCAUGUAACAGUAUUUCAUUCUUUUUAUCACCAAAUAAUAUAUAAUUUUAUGAAUGUAUCAAAUUUUAUUUACAUCUUUGUUGGCUAAUAAACACAUGCAUUAUUUUCUCUUUUGGGCUAUUAUUAAUAAUGUGGCUAUGAACGAUUACAUACAAGUU